GCUUUCCAAUAGAACUUUCUGCAAUGAUGGAAUUGUUCUGUAUUUGCUCUGUUCAGUAUGGUAGCCAUUAAUCACAUGUGGCUAUUGAGCAUUUGAAAUGCAGCUAAUGCCACUGUGAAACUGAUUUUUAAAUUUUAUUUAAUUUUAAUUUUAAAAAAAUUUAAAAGCCUCAUGUGGCUAGUCCCUUACAUAGUGGACAGUGCCUGAUUAACUGAUGAUCUUGUCCUCUUUGUUAAAUAGCAGUUACCCAAAAGGAGAUUUUCUUGAGAAGGGAUACUUUAUGUUCAGUCUUUUGAUAUUUAUUUUCUGGGUAAUCCCCAGGAAGCUAAAUGUAUAAAGAUUGGUUGAACAUUAACCUCUUUUAAAAAAAUACAGACUUAAGUAGAAAUGGAGAAUAAAUGGAAAUCAGGACAGAUCAUGAGAAAGGGUACCUUAAAAUAAAUGCCUUUUAAAAUUUAUUGAACAUUCUGUAUUGUGUAAUUGCCUCACAUUUUUCUCCAUAUGUGUGUGUGGGGGGGUUGUUUUUCAGAAACACAUCUCCAAUAUUUAUUUUUAAAACAAACAAAACUUACUACAACACAAGCAUGAAUAAAAGAUCACAGGUAAAGAAAAAGCAUACCUCCUACUACAGAGUAGAAGCUGCUGCCUUCAUAAGAAAAUGCCAUAGAAACAUCAUUGAGCCUUUUGUCUCAGAUGCUGUCUUGCUCUGUAAACAUUUAAUCCACAGUGUUUUGCACUGAUGAAUUUAUGGAUUUAAUAUGAAACUCAUAAAAGUAAGUGCUGUAUAUGAUGGACUUAAUAAAUCUGCAUUUUUAUAACUUUAAUAUUGUACCC
Molecule: long non-coding RNA, 834 nt
Filed under: Dasypus novemcinctus (nine-banded armadillo)
Lineage: Eukaryota; Metazoa; Chordata; Mammalia; Cingulata; Dasypodidae
Description: lncRNA (ENSDNOG00000052286.1)
Source: RNAcentral